Long non-coding RNA from Mauremys mutica (yellowpond turtle), 551 nucleotides. RefSeq lists it as uncharacterized. The transcript is spliced from 3 exons. Lineage: Eukaryota; Metazoa; Chordata; Testudines; Geoemydidae. The record is from RefSeq and is a predicted model, not a curated record.
AGGAUAAGACAGUAAACAACAAAUUCCAUUUCCACCAAAGGAAGUGUUUAGACUGAGGAAUUACACAGAACUUCCUACUUUAAGUAUUUGCAAGACAUCAACAGCCCUGUCUACAUGGGCAAAAAAGAUUCUUCUGUACUCCAUGAGUUGUGAAUGGUGUUACAGACGGUAGACGUCAAAAAAGGGAAGACGUUUGGCAAAACCCCGAAAUUGUUGCCACAGGACUGCCCUUCAUUAUUUUCUGCAAUCUGAAAAUUAGUUAACGGGUAUCCAUCGUAGAAGUGCUUCUUAUACAAUUUGGGCUAGACUGUGCUGCUCUGAUGUUCGAGGCAGAGUAAAGGAUGCAAGGAGCUGACUUUCAUCUGAGUGCACAGAUGCACUUACAAUUGCCUGUUUCUUCUUUGAUGGGACUGCUUUUGUAAGCAAGAUUGACCCUAACAGCUGAUCCUGCAAUUCUUACCCAUGAGAGUAGACCCAGUGAGGUGAAUAGGACUACAGACCUGAAUGAGGGCUGCAGGGUUGGGUCCUGAGAUUUUAAUGGGCAUGAUUUC